RNAcentral lists this ribosomal RNA (1553 nucleotides) under Escherichia coli. RNAcentral's name for it is "bacterial SSU rRNA". It matches the Rfam family "Bacterial small subunit ribosomal RNA". The record is from RNAcentral. Lineage: Bacteria; Pseudomonadati; Pseudomonadota; Gammaproteobacteria; Enterobacterales; Enterobacteriaceae.
AAAUUGAAGAGUUUGAUCAUGGCUCAGAUUGAACGCUGGCGGCAGGCCUAACACAUGCAAGUCGAACGGUAACAGGAAACAGCUUGCUGUUUCGCUGACGAGUGGCGGACGGGUGAGUAAUGUCUGGGAAACUGCCUGAUGGAGGGGGAUAACUACUGGAAACGGUAGCUAAUACCGCAUAACGUCGCAAGACCAAAGAGGGGGACCUUCGGGCCUCUUGCCAUCGGAUGUGCCCAGAUGGGAUUAGCUAGUAGGUGGGGUAACGGCUCACCUAGGCGACGAUCCCUAGCUGGUCUGAGAGGAUGACCAGCCACACUGGAACUGAGACACGGUCCAGACUCCUACGGGAGGCAGCAGUGGGGAAUAUUGCACAAUGGGCGCAAGCCUGAUGCAGCCAUGCCGCGUGUAUGAAGAAGGCCUUCGGGUUGUAAAGUACUUUCAGCGGGGAGGAAGGGAGUAAAGUUAAUACCUUUGCUCAUUGACGUUACCCGCAGAAGAAGCACCGGCUAACUCCGUGCCAGCAGCCGCGGUAAUACGGAGGGUGCAAGCGUUAAUCGGAAUUACUGGGCGUAAAGCGCACGCAGGCGGUUUGUUAAGUCAGAUGUGAAAUCCCCGGGCUCAACCUGGGAACUGCAUCUGAUACUGGCAAGCUUGAGUCUCGUAGAGGGGGGUAGAAUUCCAGGUGUAGCGGUGAAAUGCGUAGAGAUCUGGAGGAAUACCGGUGGCGAAGGCGGCCCCCUGGACGAAGACUGACGCUCAGGUGCGAAAGCGUGGGGAGCAAACAGGAUUAGAUACCCUGGUAGUCCACGCCGUAAACGAUGUCGACUUGGAGGUUGUGCCCUUGAGGCGUGGCUUCCGGAGCUAACGCGUUAAGUCGACCGCCUGGGGAGUACGGCCGCAAGGUUAAAACUCAAAUGAAUUGACGGGGGCCCGCACAAGCGGUGGAGCAUGUGGUUUAAUUCGAUGCAACGCGAAGAACCUUACCUGGUCUUGACAUCCACGGAAGUUUUCAGAGAUGAGAAUGUGCCUUCGGGAACCGUGAGACAGGUGCUGCAUGGCUGUCGUCAGCUCGUGUUGUGAAAUGUUGGGUUAAGUCCCGCAACGAGCGCAACCCUUAUCCUUUGUUGCCAGCGGUCCGGCCGGGAACUCAAAGGAGACUGCCAGUGAUAAACUGGAGGAAGGUGGGGAUGACGUCAAGUCAUCAUGGCCCUUACGACCAGGGCUACACACGUGCUACAAUGGCGCAUACAAAGAGAAGCGACCUCGCGAGAGCAAGCGGACCUCAUAAAGUGCGUCGUAGUCCGGAUUGGAGUCUGCAACUCGACUCCAUGAAGUCGGAAUCGCUAGUAAUCGUGGAUCAGAAUGCCACGGUGAAUACGUUCCCGGGCCUUGUACACACCGCCCGUCACACCAUGGGAGUGGGUUGCAAAAGAAGUAGGUAGCUUAACCUUCGGGAGGGCGCUUACCACUUUGUGAUUCAUGACUGGGGUGAAGUCGUAACAAGGUAACCGUAGGGGAACCUGCGGUUGGAUCACCUCCUUACCUUAAAGAAG